CCUACGGGAGGCAGCAGUGAGGAAUAUUGGUCAAUGGUCGGGAGACUGAACCAGCCAAGCCGCGUGAGGGAUGAAGGUACAGAGUAUCGUAAACCUCUUUUGUCAGGGAACAAAGGCGGGGACGUGUCCCCGGCUGAGUGUACCUGAAGAAAAAGCAUCGGCUAACUACGUGCCAGCAGCCGCGGUAAUACGGAGGAUGCGAGCGUUAUCCGGAUUUAUUGGGUUUAAAGGGUGCGCAGGCGGUCUGUUAAGUCAGCGGUCAAAGCCCGGGGCUCAACCCCGGCCCGCCGUUGAAACUGGCAGUCUCGAGUUGGAGAGAAGUAGGCGGAAUGCGCGGUGUAGCGGUGAAAUGCAUAGAUAUCGCGCAGAACUCCGAUUGCGAAGGCAGCAUGCCGGCUCCACACUGACGCUGAGGCACGAAAGCGUGGGUAUCGAACAGGAUUAGAUACCCCAGUAGUC
RNAcentral lists this ribosomal RNA (459 nucleotides) under uncultured bacterium. Its description in RNAcentral is "partial 16S ribosomal RNA". It matches the Rfam family "Bacterial small subunit ribosomal RNA", at positions 338 to 795 of the family's 1533-position model. The record is from RNAcentral.